AUCGCUUCUCGGCCUUUUGGCUAAGAUCAAGUGUAGUAUCUGUUCUUAUCAGUUUAAAAGAGGAUGAAAACAAAAAAGAUAAAGGAAAAUAUAUUUCUGGUUACUUUAGCCUUGGUUCAAGGAACAUAAAGGGUUAAGUAUUAGUUCUGAACUGGGUAAUUUUUCCCUCA
RNAcentral lists this small nuclear RNA (170 nucleotides) under Suricata suricatta (meerkat). Its description in RNAcentral is "U2 spliceosomal RNA (ENSSSUG00005010176.1)". It matches the Rfam family "U2 spliceosomal RNA". Rfam says of the family: U2 is a small nuclear RNA (snRNA) component of the spliceosome (involved in pre-mRNA splicing). Lineage: Eukaryota; Metazoa; Chordata; Mammalia; Carnivora; Herpestidae. The record is from RNAcentral.